CAGUCGCCGCGGUAACACAGAGGGUGCAAGCGUUAAUCGGAAUUACUGGGCGUAAAGCGCGCGUAGGUGGUUCGCCAAGUUGGAUGUGAAAUCCCCGGGCUCAACCUGGGAACUGCAUCCAAAACUGGCGAGCUAGAGUAUGGUAGAGGGUGGUGGAAUUUCCUGUGUAGCGGUGAAAUGCGUAGAUAUAGGAAGGAACAUCAGUGGCGAAGGCGACCACCUGGACUGAUACUGACACUGAGGUGCGAAAGCGUGGGGAGCAAACAGGAUUAGAUACCCCGGUAGUCCCUGUCUCUUAUAC
This 301-nucleotide ribosomal RNA is filed under the name uncultured bacterium. RNAcentral's name for it is "partial 16S ribosomal RNA". It matches the Rfam family "Bacterial small subunit ribosomal RNA", at positions 509 to 807 of the family's 1533-position model. The record is from RNAcentral.